RNAcentral lists this ribosomal RNA (449 nucleotides) under uncultured bacterium. RNAcentral describes it as "partial 16S ribosomal RNA". It matches the Rfam family "Bacterial small subunit ribosomal RNA", at positions 29 to 523 of the family's 1533-position model. The record is from RNAcentral.
AACGAACGCUGGCGGCAUGCCUAACACAUGCAAGUCGAACGAGAUCUUCGGGUCUAGUGGCGCACGGGUGCGUAACGCGUGGGAAUCUGCCCUUUGGUUCGGAAUAACAGUUGGAAACGACUGCUAAUACCGGAUGAUGACGAAAGUCCAAAGAUUUAUCGCCAGAGGAUGAGCCCGCGUAGGAUUAGCUAGUUGGUGUGGUAAAGGCGCACCAGGGCGACGAUCCUUAGCUGGUCUGAGAGGAUGAUCAGCCACACUGGGACUGAGACACGGCCCAGACUCCUACGGGAGGCAGCAGUGGGGAAUAUUGGACAAUGGGCGAAAGCCUGAUCUAGCAAUGCCGCGUGAGUGAUGAAGGCCUUAGGGUUGUAAAGCUCUUUUACCCGGGAUGAUAAUGACAGUACCGGGAGAAUAAGCUCCGGCUAACUCCGUGCCAGCCGCCGCGGUAA